GCCUAACACAUGCAAGUCGAACGGUAACAGGAAGAAGCUUGCUUCUUUGCUGACGAGUGGCGGACGGGUGAGUAAUGUCUGGGAAACUGCCUGAUGGAGGGGGAUAACUACUGGAAACGGUAGCUAAUACCGCAUAACGUCGCAAGACCAAAGAGGGGGACCUUCGGGCCUCUUGCCAUCGGAUGUGCCCAGAUGGGAUUAGCUAGUAGGUGGGGUAACGGCUCACCUAGGCGACGAUCCCUAGCUGGUCUGAGAGGAUGACCAGCCACACUGGAACUGAGACACGGUCCAGACUCCUACGGGAGGCAGCAGUGGGGAAUAUUGCACAAUGGGCGCAAGCCUGAUGCAGCCAUGCCGCGUGUAUGAAGAAGGCCUUCGGGUUGUAAAGUACUUUCAGCGGGGAGGAAGGGAGUAAAGUUAAUACCUUUGCUCAUUGACGUUACCCGCAGAAGAAGCACCGGCUAACUCCGUGCCAGCAGCCGCGGUAAUACGGAGGGUGCAAGCGUUAAUCGGAAUUACUGGGCGUAAAGCGCACGCAGGCGGAUGGUAAAGUCAGAUGUGAAAUCCC
Molecule: ribosomal RNA, 568 nt
Filed under: uncultured Pseudomonadota bacterium
Lineage: Bacteria; Pseudomonadati; Pseudomonadota
Description: bacterial SSU rRNA
Rfam family: Bacterial small subunit ribosomal RNA
Source: RNAcentral